Molecule: ribosomal RNA, 269 nt
Filed under: Sergentomyia babu babu
Lineage: Eukaryota; Metazoa; Arthropoda; Insecta; Diptera; Psychodidae
Description: partial 28S ribosomal RNA
Rfam family: Eukaryotic large subunit ribosomal RNA
Source: RNAcentral
CAUUGCUGAUGUGAUGCUUCUGGUGUUGCUUGGCAUGGAAUAGAUAUAUUUGAGAAAACCCAAAAGCGAAAUUAACGUGACUGUACUUAUGUACAUGGGAUUACAUUUAUUUAUUAUAUGUUUUUGAAUUUUAAAUAAAUUUCCAUCCCAGGGCGAUUUAUAAUUAAUUUCGAUUAUGAAAUCGUACCUUGAGCAUACAUGGUAGGACCCGAAAGAUGGUGAACUAUGCCUGAUCAGGUUGAAGUCAGGGGAAACCCUGAUGGGAGGGA